Molecule: non-coding RNA, 31 nt
Filed under: Mus musculus (house mouse)
Lineage: Eukaryota; Metazoa; Chordata; Mammalia; Rodentia; Muridae
Source: RNAcentral
UGCUAAGUGUAUCCAGAGCAUGAGGAGUACU